GGCUGCAAGUUCAUCAAUUGAUGUUCCACCACAAACUUGUUUCUAAGAUUUCUUAUUCCUGAUGAAUGACAUGAAUGAAGCUCCAAGAGUACAAGAAAAAUGAAAAUAAAAUGAACCACUUUUGUUAUAUGAAGGUUGACAACUCUGGUUUUUUUAUAUAUCAAGCGCAAGGCCGAGCUCUGGUUCGACACCGCCCUCACUCACGCCCCUUCUCCUUUCAUGCCUAGAAUCAAGACCGGUAGAUCUUUCACCAUGGAAAGCUUAUGCGAUUUUAGUGUAGCAGAUCAGAUGCAGAAGGAGUUCAUCGUCCGAUUUGAAAAUUAAUGGUACUUCGGAAACUAUGUCUGAAACCGUGCUUAGUCCAGUUGAGUUAAAGGAAGAAGUAAUUUCUUCAGAGACCAAAGAAGAAAAUGUCAUAGUGAAUUCUGCUGAUAAAGGUUCAAAGGAGGGUGGCAAAGGGGAAGCAAGAGUACUGAGAAACAUGACAGAGCAUCAGCUACGAUAGUUUCUUCUUCUUCUGAUGUGAAAAGUGAAGCGAAUAGUGAUAAAGAGAAUAGCAAACCUUCUGUUCAAGCAGAAAAAGAAGCUUGCACUCCUGUGCCACCGAAUCCUGGGACCAACUCCAAGAAGCACCAGACAGCUAAAAAGAUUGCUAUUUUAGUUAGAAACCCAUCAGCCUUGAAGCCAAAAAGUCAGAUAAAGUCGUCACAAUCCAAAACCCCCAAACCAUCUUUGUUUGAAAAGUGAAACAAAUGUGAAAAGCACUGCUGGGACUCUCACUUUGGCCCAGGAGAAUCAGGCAAUUAAGCGACAGAAGUUGGAAGGAGGACAAUCUAGACAGAUUCUUAGCCUCAAACCGCAUAAUUUGCCCCACAAGACAAAAUCGGGUCUUGUAAGUGGCAGUUCCAACUUCUGCCCAUCAACUGUGAAUAGAGCUAAAAAAGAUGAAAGAAAGAUUUAUGUUCGAGAAGGAGCAGCACCAGCACAAGCUCCUCCAUUUGUUUCAGCUGCUGAAAUGAUGAAGAAGUUCCAAUCAAGUACCAGAGACCCUUGUCGUUGCCUCACACUGGUUCUCAGAUGAAGCCUAGACUCACAUUGACAAGGCCCAAGGAACCUGAGUUUGAAACAGCUCAACGAGCACGCUCACAUUAAAAGCUCUGUUAAGAUGAGCACGCUCAACGAGCUUGAAGAAGAGAUGAUGGCCAAAAUUCCCAAGUUUAAAGCACGUCCAUUGAACAAGAAGGAGAGCCCAUAGAAUACUGCUUGUUAACAACAUCAAUUGGCGUAUCUUGGAUCUCACCUGAACUGGGGAAAAGGAGCCUGUCCCUGGCCGCAGAAGAUUCAAUAGCAACCAUAGCAGCAUGGCGUAAAGGGUGCCAACAACCA
Humulus lupulus (European hop) is the source of this 1386-nucleotide long non-coding RNA. RefSeq lists it as uncharacterized. The record is from RefSeq and is a predicted model, not a curated record. The transcript is spliced from 11 exons. Lineage: Eukaryota; Viridiplantae; Streptophyta; Magnoliopsida; Rosales; Cannabaceae.